Molecule: ribosomal RNA, 462 nt
Filed under: uncultured bacterium
Lineage: Bacteria
Description: partial 16S ribosomal RNA
Rfam family: Bacterial small subunit ribosomal RNA
Source: RNAcentral
AGUGAACGCUGGCGGCGUGCCUAAUACAUGCAAGUCGAACGGAGAUUAAAUAGCUUGCUAUUUAAUCUUAGUGGCGCACGGGUGAGUAAUAUAUAGCUAACUUGCCCAUUACUAAGGGACAACAGUUGGAAACGACUGCUAAUACCUUAUACUCCGUAUCUAUAUAAGUAGAUACGGGAAAGUUUUUCGGUAAUGGAUAGGGCUAUAUCGUAUCAGCUAGUUGGUAAGGUAAUGGCUUACCAAGGCUAUGACGCGUAACUGGUCUGAGAGGAUGAUCAGUCACACUGGAACUGAGACACGGUCCAGACUCCUACGGGAGGCAGCAGUAGGGAAUAUUGCUCAAUGGGGGAAACCCUGAAGCAGCAACGCCGCGUGGAGGAUGACACUUUUCGGAGCGUAAACUCCUUUUCUUGGGAAAGAAUUAUGACGGUACCCAAGGAAUAAGCACCGGCUAACUCCGUG